GUUUAUCAGGUUAGUGCAUUUUAGCAUUCAUUGCUGUUGUUUUCCAUUAUUGAUUUUUCUUUAAUUUCCAUUGAAUUCUUAACUAUGUCCUAUGUUUCUUCUUUUACCCCAAAAUUACUCAAGUUGUUAAAGAAGUCAUACUUUUAAGACCAUUAUUGGUCUUGUUCUUGUAUGGAUAUGAACAUAGUAUAAGUGUUAUUCAAGGGUAUGAUUUAUCUUAAUAACUAAGGCGUCAGUUGGUUAGCUUGCUUUUUUCUUAUUGUUACAUUUGUUUUCAAGCAAAAUCAAAAUUAGUAGAAAGUACUUUUUAGAAAGCAAAAGGCAAACAAACCAAAUAGAGGCUAAGCUAACAAUGUUCUAUUUCUCAAAGGAAUAAAUCAUUUUGGAAAUUUUUUAACCAUGUUAAAGCGCAUCUCAAAUUAAUUUUGUUUCGUAUGAUAUGAUUGUUGAUGAUGAUGAUGCCAGGCUCUCCUAUCAAUCUUAGAUAGUCCAGAAAAUAAGGCUGGGAGGUUGCGAGCUGUGUAUGUUAAAACUGAUAAAGGUGUUCUUUUUGAAGUUAAACCAUACGUGCGUAUCCAAGGACAUAUAAGCGAUUUGCUGGAAUUAUGUUACAGCUGCUUCAAAAACUGAGUAUAACUGCUGUAGGUAAGCGUGAGAAACUUUUGCGUGCAAUCAAGAAUCCUGUGACCCAGUACCUGCCUGUCAACUCUC
RNAcentral lists this unclassified non-coding RNA (711 nucleotides) under Hevea brasiliensis (rubber tree). Lineage: Eukaryota; Viridiplantae; Streptophyta; Magnoliopsida; Malpighiales; Euphorbiaceae. The record is from RNAcentral.